RNAcentral lists this unclassified non-coding RNA (535 nucleotides) under Botrytis sp. F25 JA-2017. RNAcentral's name for it is "sequence contains ITS1, 5.8S rRNA gene and ITS2". The stretch from base 194 to 347 matches the Rfam family "5.8S ribosomal RNA". The record is from RNAcentral. Lineage: Eukaryota; Fungi; Ascomycota; Leotiomycetes; Helotiales; Sclerotiniaceae.
AAGUCGUAACAAGGUUUYCGUAGGUGAACCUGCGGAAGGAUCAUUACAGAGUUCAUGCCCGAAAGGGUAGACCUCCCACCCUUGUGUAUUAUUACUUUGUUGCUUUGGCGAGCUGCCUUCGGGCCUUGUAUGCUCGCCAGAGAAUACCAAAACUCUUUUUAUUAAUGUCGUCUGAGUACUAUAUAAUAGUUAAAACUUUCAACAACGGAUCUCUUGGUUCUGGCAUCGAUGAAGAACGCAGCGAAAUGCGAUAAGUAAUGUGAAUUGCAGAAUUCAGUGAAUCAUCGAAUCUUUGAACGCACAUUGCGCCCCUUGGUAUUCCGGGGGGCAUGCCUGUUCGAGCGUCAUUUCAACCCUCAAGCUUAGCUUGGUAUUGAGUCUAUGUCAGUAAUGGCAGGCUCUAAAAUCAGUGGCGGCGCCGCUGGGUCCUGAACGUAGUAAUAUCUCUCGUUACAGGUUCUCGGUGUGCUUCUGCCAAAACCCAAAUUUUUCUAUGGUUGACCUCGGAUCAGGUAGGGAUACCCGCUGAACUUAA